RNAcentral lists this ribosomal RNA (449 nucleotides) under uncultured bacterium. RNAcentral describes it as "bacterial SSU rRNA". It matches the Rfam family "Bacterial small subunit ribosomal RNA", at positions 354 to 796 of the family's 1533-position model. The record is from RNAcentral.
GUCGAGAAUCUUUCACAAUGGGGGCAACCCUGAUGGAGCGACGCCGCGUGGAGGAUAAGGUCUUCGGAUUGUAAACUCCUGUCAUGCGUGAACAAGGUUGCUUGGUUAAUACCUGGGCAAAUUGAUGGUAACGCAAGAGGAAGAGACGGCUAACUCUGUGCCAGCAGCCGCGGUAAUACAGAGGUCUCAAGCGUUGUUCGGAAUCACUGGGCGUAAAGGGUGCGUAGGUGGCGUGGUAAGUCAGAUGUGAAAGCCCGGGGCUCAACCGCGGAACUGCAUCCGAUACUGCCAUGCUAGAGUACUGGAGAGGUGACUAGAAUUCUCGGUGUAGCAGUGAAAUGCGUAGAUAUCGAGAGGAAUACCAAAGGCGUAGGCAGGUCACUGGACAGUUACUGACACUGAGGCACGAAGGCCAGGGGAGCGAACGGGAUUAGAUACCCGAGUAGUCC